RNAcentral lists this ribosomal RNA (288 nucleotides) under uncultured Syndiniales. RNAcentral describes it as "partial 18S ribosomal RNA". It matches the Rfam family "Eukaryotic small subunit ribosomal RNA", at positions 604 to 902 of the family's 1831-position model. Lineage: Eukaryota; Dinophyceae; Syndiniales. The record is from RNAcentral.
UUAAAGUUGUUGCGGUUAAAAGCUCCUAGUUGGAUUUCUGUUGGGUAUCGCCUGGUCUGCUCCUCGAGUACGUAUCUGCGUCGAUCCUGGCAUCCUCCCAACGCUCUGUGGCAUUAAUUUGCUGCUUGGCUUGCGACUUUUACUUUGAGGAAAUUAGAGUGUUCACGGCAGGCAUUUGCUUUGAAUAUAUUAGCAUGGGAUAAUAACAUAGGACUUCAGUUUUAUUUUGUUGGUUUCUAAGGCUGAAGUAAUGAUUAAUAGGGACAAUUGGGGGCACUCGUACAAAUC